AGCAGCGUGGCUCAGUGGAAAGAGCACGGGCUUUAGAGUCAGAGGUCAUGGGUUCGAAUCCCAGCUCGGCCA
Molecule: transfer RNA, 72 nt
Filed under: Ornithorhynchus anatinus (platypus)
Lineage: Eukaryota; Metazoa; Chordata; Mammalia; Monotremata; Ornithorhynchidae
Rfam family: tRNA
About the family: Transfer RNA (tRNA) molecules are approximately 80 nucleotides in length. Their secondary structure includes four short double-helical elements and three loops (D, anti-codon, and T loops). Further hydrogen bonds mediate the characteristic L-shaped molecular structure. tRNAs have two regions of fundamental functional importance: the anti-codon, which is responsible for specific mRNA codon recognition, and the 3' end, to which the tRNAs corresponding amino acid is attached (by aminoacyl-tRNA synthetases). tRNAs cope with the degeneracy of the genetic code in two manners: having more than one tRNA (with a specific anti-codon) for a particular amino acid; and 'wobble' base-pairing, i.e. permitting non-standard base-pairing at the 3rd anti-codon position.
Source: Rfam by way of RNAcentral